RNAcentral lists this ribosomal RNA (212 nucleotides) under uncultured bacterium. Its description in RNAcentral is "partial 16S ribosomal RNA". It matches the Rfam family "Bacterial small subunit ribosomal RNA", at positions 129 to 334 of the family's 1533-position model. The record is from RNAcentral.
CCAUACAGUGGGGGAUAACCAGAAGAAAUUCUGGCUAAUACCGCAUACGAAGCACAAUUUUGAAAGUAGUGCUUGAAAGGAUGCUUCGGCAUUCGCUGAAUGAUGGGCCUGCGUAGCAUUAGUUUGAUGGUGGGGUAACGGCCUACCAUGACUACGAUGCUUAGCUGGCCUGAGAGGAUGAUCAGCCACACUGGAACUGAGACACGGUCCAG